Helianthus annuus (common sunflower) is the source of this 374-nucleotide long non-coding RNA. RefSeq lists it as uncharacterized. The transcript is spliced from 4 exons. The record is from RefSeq and is a predicted model, not a curated record. Lineage: Eukaryota; Viridiplantae; Streptophyta; Magnoliopsida; Asterales; Asteraceae.
UUCCAAUCAACUCUUCAACUUCUCUCCAAUCUUAUUCCAAGAAUACCAUCGGUUUCUAUAAGUUCAAUGAAUUUAUUAAGUGGAUCUACAUAUAUAUAUGGGUUGACGUUCUUCUAUCCAUACCAUCUAUAUCUACAAUUCAUUGAAUCCAUUCCUCAAGUUCACAUAUCGCUUUACAAUCUGUAUUUCAUAUGGCUGAAAGUUCAUCAAGUUUCAGGGGACCCUGCUUCUGUAGGCACAUGAAUAAAGCAGACGAGUUUAUUAUGUGCAUUCCAGAUGCCGCUGUGUGUAAACUAUGGGGUGUAUAUAAAUGUCCUACGAAUGUUGAUAUACACACAGAAGAUGGCCGAGUAUUUAAUGUUGGAUUAAGCGCU